RNAcentral lists this ribosomal RNA (513 nucleotides) under Mastigoniscus sp. 1-MJR-2004. Its description in RNAcentral is "partial 16S ribosomal RNA". It matches the Rfam family "Bacterial large subunit ribosomal RNA", at positions 1799 to 2617 of the family's 2925-position model. Lineage: Eukaryota; Metazoa; Arthropoda; Malacostraca; Isopoda; Haploniscidae. The record is from RNAcentral.
CCUGUUUAUCAAAAACAUCUCUAGUCCCGCGGCUGGUAGACUCUGCUCAGUGAUUAUUAAAUAGCCGCAGUAUUCUAACUGUGCUAAGGUAGCAUAAUAAUUAGGCUUAUAAUAGAAGUCUGGAAUGAAGGAGCUGACGAUUUUUAGGCUUUCUUAGUUAAAAAUUUGGAAUUUUAUAUUUAAGUAAAAAAGCUUAACUUUUUAGAAAGACGAUAAGACCCUAUAAAGCUUUACUAAUAGCCGGGGGGGCACCUCGGGUAGGCUCUGCGGAGUUAGUUGAGCUGGGGCGGCAGUAAAUAUUCUUUUACAGAGAAAACAAAAUAAUUGAGAACUGAGACCUAGUGAAAUUUAGAUCAAGCUACUUUAGGGAUAACAGCGCAAUUUUUUUAGAGAGAACAUAUCGAUAAAAAAGACUUGCGACCUCGAUGUUGAAUUGAGGGGCCUAAAUUAAGCAAAAAUAAUUUCAGGAAGUCUGUUCGACUUUUAAUUCCUCACGUGAUCUGAGUGCAGACC